AGCGGGGCUGCGCUCCUCACCGCUGCCCCCGCCCCCAAUAGCGGCCGCCGGCCGGCUGCAGCCCCCUUAAGAACGCCGGAACAUCCGUCAUAGUCGCGUCACAGUCCCGCCCUCCGCCCGACCUUGGUAAUGAGCCAGCGGUCCCGCCUCCUCAUGAAUAAUGCACGACCGCGAGGGAGGGGAUGCGCGCGUACCGCCCAACGCCGCGCACUGAAGGUGGGCGCUACCAUUUAAAGGGCGCGGGGAGAGGUGACGGCCUUUAAGCGACGCCCCGAAGAUCCGCUGGCCUUUUGCUGGCCUUCGACGACGCAGCCAUCCUGAAGCGGAAAACAACCGAAAUGGAACCAUUUUAUUGUGUUCGCGGCAGCUGGUGCGACCGGCUCUUCCUUCCGCGGAGGGAGGUGUGGGGUCUGAGCCGUGCUUUCUUUCACCGCCCCGUGCCGCACCGGCCGGCAGGCGGGGCGCCCCCGCCCCUCGUUUGCAUUGACGCAGGCGUGCGGGCCGCGCCGUGGCGGCACGAGUUGGGGGGGAAUGUCGAGGUUGGGCUGGGCCCGUGGCUGUGUGCUGUGUGCAACCCAUCCCCACCGUGCCCACUGACCGCCUCCCUCAGUGCCGCACCUCUACGUUUCUUGGGCACUGACUCUGCCAUCUCCCUGGGCAGCCUGUUGCAAGGCAUCACUGCUCUUUUUGAGAAGAAACUUUUCCUUACAUACAUUCUGAACCUCCUCUACAAAACCAGUUCCCUCAGCCGCUCCUCUCAAGACCUGUACUCCAGACCCUUUGCCAGCUCUGCUGCCCUUCUUUGGACAUGUUCUAGGACCUCUUUGAGUCAUGCAGCCCAUCUUCCACGCCCUCCACUGACCCAAGGAAAGCCCAGGCUAAGGCAGGCCUGAGGAUAGGCCUGCAUGUGGAUAGCCCUUGGUGGUAUUUCCUGGACAGGCAAUGCUAAACAUGGGUUUUUACCCUUUUUUAUGGUUCUGGAAGCAUGGCUUUUAGCAACAGUGUUGAACACAAGUAAGUAGUUCAGCAGCUAUAGGUGUAAUGCAGAUCUAGAUAUCCUUGAACAAAAUAAAGGACCUCUGCUUGUUGGCUGGAAAAGCUUUAACUCAGUGGUGACAGUGGUGCACAUCUGCAGAGUGAGUGAUAGCACACUUGAGAAGUGUCAGUGUAUGCCUGGCCUAUCCUACUUCUCCAUAGGCAUCCAUUAGUGGCCCCUGUCAGAAGCUGUGUGGCUACUUUCCAUUUGCCCAAUGGAUGUUUGGCCUGAACCAGUGCUUUAAUCAUUAAAUCUAUGUGUUUAUUAAAUGUGUAUAAACUGUAAGGGAAAAAUGUUUAGUUCCACGUGUCUACAGUCUUCUUUGGUGCGAUCGUGUUCCUGUAUAUAGGAGUGAGCCUGCAUGGGUGUGUAUAUUUAGAUAUUUAUGCCACUUUGCAGGCUUGCCAUGCAAAUACAUGUGCAGCGUAGAAGACUAAUUGCUACUUUUUUCUUAUAUUUCAGUUAAUAUUUCAGAAUUGUUCAUUAUAUUGGCAUCCAUUCUGUUUCAGGAGCUCUGCAGCCAUCUUACAAGUAGCAAAAAACAGGGUACAGAUCAAGGCCCUGUUGAUGAUUGCAUGCCGAGUGAAUGCUGCCAGCCGAGUGAUGGUUGCUCACUGAAUAGCGAGUUGCUUCAUGGCACAGUCCUCAUAAACAUGGCUUCAGAGAGCUGUAGAACUGGUAGGAUCCAGCUUCCCUUUGCCUUCGUGUCACAUGCCUGAUGUUUGGUUAUGUGCAAGCCUGAACAGAAGCUGUCCCGCACCUGGGGCAUUUGCUGGCAUCUAACAAUGGUGAAGUAGUGCUGCACUGUUCUCCCCGAUGGCCAGCUGCCUGUUGCUAGCAAGUAAGGCAGGAACUUCUUUGACUGUAGUGUUUGUCCCCUUGCUUGAGUCCCAAUUCUUGCUGUUGUGGAGUUCACAAGUUCUUUUAAAUCAGUUGGAAGACAAGAGCACUCACAUCCUCUGUGACAGCUUAUCUCUGCCAUGGUAGCUAUCUGCCCCAGUUAUACACACUUAUUAAAACAACUUUCAUAGAGGAAAUCUCUUCUAUUUUUAACUGUGUAUAAACUAAGCAUCCACUCUGAAUUAGUUGCCUAAUCUGCAAACAAGAGACAGGUGCUACCAAAGUGAUUCAUCUUUUCCUAAUACAGGUACAUUUAGAGAGAGAAACCUCAUCUCUCCUUGCUGAUUUUGAGGAAAGCUCAUGUCUGUAUCCUGUCCAGGAGCUCUUUGGUGCUCAUCGGUCUUGUGGUACAAAUAGGCUUCUUGACUCUGACACAAGCAAGAAUGGCCUAACUGAGUCAAACCACUCAUCCUUCCAGCUGUGCAUCUGGUUUCUCCUGCCUCUGAGAGCUAUGAGCUCUUAGCUCCUGUUUGCUGUGGCCAUAAAUUCUAGCUUCUUCAUCAAAUCAUUUCCUUUCAAGAAGUCAUGGGCCCAGUCCUUGGAGUUUUCUUUUUCCUCUCCACUUCUCAGUUUCUCCAUUUGGCCAUGUGGCCUUCACACUCCAGUGCAUUAUUUUUUAGUUCUUCCCUGUAACCCUGCUUUCCUUUUUCUUAGCUGCCCCUUUUUGGAGACCUUUUUUGGGCUGGGCAGUAGGAAAGACUGUCUGAAAACACAUGCCUAAAUGGAUGUGUAGGAAGCUUGACAUGCUUAGCCUCUUCUUUCAGCUACCUCAACUGUUUGCAGCUUGGAGGUCUGCUAGAUUUGCCUUUCCAGAACUUAGGUGAUAGUGGGAUGCUUGGGCUCUUCAUUCUGAUUUCAGAGCAGAACUCCUGUCCUGGAUGAGCUGAGGGAGCUAGAAGGAGUAAUGCAACUCCAGUAAGUGGCUGAGAGGAUACAGCAAACACCAGGAGGGGUGGGUAUCUGGCCAUGUGCAAUAUUACUGCAUGUAACACGUGCAUUGAACAAUGUGGCAAAACAAACUGUCGAACAGGUAAAACCAUAUAUACCUAAGUUAUGAUUCUGGCAGCCAUUAAUCAUCCUGCUUCUGUCUAUUCACUGUAACAAACAUGCCAGAUGUCCACUUCAUUUGGGAGGCCUGUGCGGAACUGAGGCUAACAGCUCUCCAGGGUUUGUCAGCGCAGUAAAGACAGUGGCCAUCUGAGUUCAUCUUGCUGUGUUCUGCAUCAUCCACUGUGCAUGAAAUUCUGCGUGCCAAGAUAAACAAGCAAUGCUAGAGAAGAGAAAGCAUAAAGACAAAUCACAAUGAGCUUUAUUAAGACAAAUCUGGUAAGCUGUAAGGAUUCCAAAGCACCUCUUCUGGCUGGAACUUAGGUGGCACGAAAGCACUCAUCUAGGCAGUACUUCUGAAUUGUACCCCUGAGUGGUUAUUGCCUCCUCUGGAAAUUGCUGUGCACAGCUUAAGUUCUUUCCUUUUCAUAAGACCAGGAGAAUAACACCUGCUAUUGGCCAGUGUUAGAGAGAUGGUACUAUUGUGUGAGACAGAAUUUUGGACCAUCAUUCUGUUUUUCUGCUUGAACAAAAAAAAACCUCUAAACUUUUAGUAGUUAUAAAAGCUGGAAGGGAUUGUGCUGAAAUGCUCUCUUCCUUGGAGUAGUCUGUGGGUUUAACUUCUUUAAAAAUGCAGGUUCUUGGUGUAGAAUCCGUACCUUUUUCUAAUCCGAUACCACGAAGGAUGUGUUAUAAUUGUGGGGAAUUUGUGAUCAGUCAUGAAAUGGAUAACAAUCAAACUAUGAUACGUAGACUUUUAUGUCUUUGCAGAGCUACUUCAGUGCUUCCUCAUUUUGUAAAUUACCACGAACACCAGAAUACUGGGAACCUAGCACAUAAAAAAGGAAAUAACUGUGCUUCCAGAAUCUGUUGUUCCCCUCCCAAUAGUUUUUUUGGAAGGUCCCAGUGGCUGUGAUUUUGAGUAUGGGCUGCAAAUAACAUGCUAAGCUAAAAAUUAUCUUUGCUUUCAUUCCAAUGCAAAAAGCUGCUUCUCUGGCUUCUUUUCUUUUCUUUUCUUUUCUUUUCUUUUCUUUUCUUUUCUUUUCUUUUCUUUUCUUUUCUUUUCUUUUCUUUUCUUUUCUUUUCUUUUCUUUUCUUUUCUUUUCUUUUCUUUUCUUUUCUUUUCUUUUCUUUUCUUUUCUUCUCUUCUCUUCUCUUCUCUUCUCUUCUCUUCUCUUCUCUUCUCUUCUCUUCUCUUCUCUUCUCUUCUCUUCUCUUUUCUUUUCUUUUUUUCCUUAUUGCAUGUUACAGUUAAAAGUAAGCAUAGCUACAGGUAGUUAGGACUAACUUCAAAAAGCCUUUUUGUUGUGGAGUGGCUCGGCACAGUGAGUAUCUGUGGCUGCUUGUAAUGCAACAAACUCUUCUUUCCAGAGCCCACAACAUUUAUAGGUCUUUCACCACUUACAGUGAUUUACUGCUCCAUUUGACCCAUCUUCCAAGGCUCUGCAGCUACAAGAAAACAUUUUUUUUCUCUUGGCAAUUUUACCUUCUCUCUUUUCCCAUCUUCUCUCUGGUUUGUUCCUGGGCACCUUUUACCAAGCUCUGUAUUUCGGUGGCUCUGCCUGUCCUGCCCUGUUCUCAGGGGCUCUGCUGGCAGGUCUGUCUCAAUGUCACCUGUAGUUGGGCUGUUGGGAGAAGCACUGUCUCCUGUCUGUGGUCUGUGGCAUGUGUCUGCUUCAUACAUCAGCCUAAGCUUUGAAAUGAGCCUGCAUAUGCAUUCCAGGAACAGCACAUUGUUCUAACUGGUAACAAAAAUACAUGACUAACGUGCUUCUGAUAGAGCCGCUUCCUCUUAACCUUAAAGUUGAUUUUUUGUUAAUGACUUCUUCCUCCCAUGGAAACGUGGAAAACAGUCUGGGACUGCAGGUUGUUAUUCAGUAAGAAAAACACAUGAUGAAGUUUGACAUUUCACAGGAAAAAGAUGUCUAAAGAUUUAUAUCAAUGGGUUUUAUUUACUGUUUUUCUGUUCUUGAUUUUUUUAAACCCCGAAAACAAAACUCAUGCAUUGCUAUAAAGGAGGUGGGCAAGUCUUUUUCAGCAGUGAGCAGUCUGUUGAGUCACAGUAACGUACGUUCUUUCCCCAUGCUUUUUUUCUUUAAAAGAAAGAAAUUGUUAAUCAUCUACAUGUAAAAAAUAUGGAAAAUAAACCAUUGUUUGAUCACCGUAUGUCAGAAUAAAAUUAAAAGCAGAGAGAAAACAUAACAUGAGGGCUUGACAUGGUUCGCUUUGUUCUGUUGUUCCCGUGCCCACGUGCCCAUGUUGUGUUCAUUUUUUAAAGCUAAAAAAUCAUAAAAUUCAUAGGAGAUGGGCAGCGUUUGUUCCUUAUUCAAAGUCCUUCUUCCACCACAAGGCCUCCACUGCCUGCUAAACUUGCAGGAUAUGGAUUCUGGUCACAGGAAUGCAAACCAGUGAUUUACUCUGCUUUUUCUUCUUUUUGCCUGGGGUUUAACCAGUACAUUAGACUAAUAUUUUCUUGCUUGCUAGUGGCAGUUUCUGUUUCUUUUUUUCUUUCUUUCUUUUUUUUUUUUUUUUUUGGUAGUGGAAGUCAUUAGAGUUUCUCCCAAGAGAAUCACUGCCAAAGUAAACAAACAUCUUCAUGAAAGGAAAAUAAUGUCUGAGGAGCAUUCAGAAUUCCAUGUUUUACAGAAGAGUAUUUAUGGCAACCAACUAGUGAAUUAAAGUGAAAGAAAUCCCAUUACUAGUUUGCUGCUUCUGCUGUGCUAAUCGAAAGUGGCAAUUUCUGCUCGCUUCUCUGCGCUACAGUGCAGGGUCUCAGUAUAAGCUGUAAUUUAAAAUGAAGGAAAUUAUGAGAUGAAACUCUUUUUAGAAGCAGUGUUAUGUUGGGUUUGCUUUUAUUUUUCUUAAUUGUUGGUAAUUGUAUAGAGCUUCUGCAUGUAAAACUCAGGGGAACUGCUAUUGUCUCCAAAAUGUUCUGCGUGUGGUUGGCAAGAACAACAAGCACAGAAGAAAGUUCAGCUAAAAAAUUCAUAAAAGCUGCCUGGUGGAAUGCAUUGCAAUCAGCUGUACACCUUGGUGCUCUUAUCCCUCUGAACUGAUCAUUUUUAGCUGAGAUGAAACAUUCUGAGGAGCAGGAGCCUGGCAGAUUUGCGGCGUAGAUUGUUUGAAGGUUUAAACACUGUGACUAUCUCAUCUUACUGCAAGUCUGUAGAUAGAACAUAAGCUCAAGUUGCUGAAAAGUGAUAGAAUGGCUCUGUGUGCACAGCCUACAAAACUGUGAAGGGCUUAUUUUCUGUGUGCUUUCUGCGUUCCCUCCAGGAGAGCAGUAAUUCCCCAGUGGAGCAAGCACACUUUGCAUUUGUUGAGGAUGAGACUGUCUCUAGUCCUUUGUUUGGGCAGCGGCUUUCACAAAGGGGACCAGUACUCACUGGGAACUUGCCAGCACCAUCAUAUGUUUCAUGACAAAUGCUAAGUGUUCAGAAAGUUGGCACUACAAAAUAGAGAUACUGUCAAUCUCUGUUUAAUUCUCAAAAUGGCUUGUAGGAUUUUAAAGCUUGUGUUGUUGCUGGUGCACUCACCCAUCAGAUAGCAUUUUUAACAGCCCUUCUAAUAUGGCCGGUUAAUUUGGUUAUAUUACUAGGAUGUAAAACAAAAUGAUUCCUAGGAUAGAGAUUGCUAGAUUGCUAAGAUUUUACUGCCGUUUUUUUCCUAUCUGCUGCGUGCUGAAGAACAGUGUGUCCAGCCACAUGUAUUGCUGUAGUCAGACCAUGGUAUUUUCUCAUCUUCUUUCCCAUGUACAGCUCAGACACAGCUGCCGCUAUUUACCAAACACAAAGGUGUUUUUCACAGCUCAGAGGGUAUGUUUGGGUUCUGCUGUAAGGAACGCGUGAUACAUCUCUAUUAAUUGCAUGAAUGUUCAGUGUAUGUUUAUGUACCUGGAUACUGUGGUGUUCUCUUUGGAAUUUUAGGGAGCGAGCUCAUAGAUCUUUGGAUACGUCUCCAGAGACAUGAUGAUUCCAGCGUCAGAAUAAUCUGCUCCAUAACGUGACCACAUUUAGGAGACCAGCUCCUGGGAGGAGACCCAAGGAGACAUCUUGAAAUUUCUGAGCAGAGAGGCUUUGGCACAGAGUUGGUGUACGCCGGAUGGCAUCCAGUUGGUAGCCUGCAUUGCUGGUGCAGCAGGAGGAAGCAAGCCUCUGACAAGAGCUAGAUAUGUCACCCUGCAGGACUGCACGGACAGCUUAAAUGGAGUGUAUGUUUGCACCUAAGCAGACUGUUAAGUAACAGAAGUGAGGUCAACAGCUCCAAGAGUGACUAUCGCAAUAUCCAGCAGCCAUAGCACUGACAUUGAGACUGGCUGGGCCAUGAGGUCAUGCUUCUGGGAGGAUGAAGAGGAAGGCCUGGAUGCACUGAGGAAGAGAGUUGAACUCAACUUUGCUAUACAGCAGAUGAAUAUUCACCCUGGUGUAUAUAUAUAUAUAAAUCUAUUUAUUUAAAAGCAAGUCUGAUGAAAGGAUGCGUUUUUCAUUGCUAUUUGUUGUAUGUAAGAGAAAUUGGCAUCUGCACAUAGAACACCGGACAGAUGUUUGCAAAGAGGUCUCAACAAGGAGUCCAAGAUCCUUCCUGGAGUGAUUAUUUAUAAUUUAUCACAGUGUUUGUGCAAUUAGGGUGUUUUUCCCCCCACGUGUAUUCCUGUGUGUCUAUCGAUAAUAAAUGAUGCGUGGUUUUAUGUUGCUGAAUCACUCAGCAUUCAGUAUGACGAUGCCUUUUGAAGUAUUGACUGUUCUAAGCGAUUUCCAUCAUCAGCAAACUUAGCUGCCUCGUUAUUAAUCCCCUCUUCCAGAUCGUUUGUGAAUGUAGUGAAGAGAACAAGUUCAAGUGCAGAUCCCUGAUCUCUUCUCUCCCAUGGUGAAAACAAUUUAUUACUACGCUUCAACAAAUCAUUAAUCUACUAAAGAAUUUCCAUCCUUAUGAUAACUCAGUUUCUUUAAGAGCUUUUAGAGAGAGAGAUGUUGUCAAAACACUUUGACUUCUGGAAAUCCAAGAGCAUUACAGCAAUCCGCAUUCACCACCAUGCUGACUGCUUUCAGGAACUGUACCAUCGUCCAUUUCAUCAGCCCACAGCAGGCUGUAAACCCUACAUUUGGUCAGGUUUCUUCUUCCGCAGAUGUGACGUUAUUUGUGUACUAAAAAUAGUGGCGAGCGCUUUCAUUACUUGUACAAAGGCUUCUAGCAGUUAGUGACAGUUUCUAAGUGAACUUAUUGCUAUGCUGCCAGAAACUCCAGAGCGAGGUACAGAUUUCCAUUGACCCCGAAUGCAGCAUGGUUUCUUUGUGAUAGAAGUCUUCUAUUUAUUUUCCAUAAAUGACAUAUCCCUGAAGCAACGGUGAGGGAAUGAAAGUUGCAUUUUAUCACUGUAACAUUUGCAGAAAAGUGAACUGCUAAACUCCCUAUUCAUAAUGAAACUUCGACUGGCCGCGAGUUCUUAAAAAGCUUACCUGCAGGUGCACAGCUUUUUUUUUUUCCCCCUUAAAAAUUUAUAUCUGAGCCUUAUGAACUUCUGAUUAAACUUUUAAAAUAAAUUAAGGGUGAGAGGAUUAGACAGGGAAUUGGAAAUGAACUGUGGUAUCUUUUGCCUCUAGCUCAGCAUUUUGAAGGCAGCCCAAAUGAGAUGUGACAAAGUGCAGUGCUCUCGUUUCUUUCUGCUGACCUACGUGCAAGUGGAGUUUGGUCUCUGCCAAGUUCUUUGUGUGAACAGCCACGUCACCGUCACUGCUAGUCUAAUUAGCAGUAAUUAGACCUUUGUUGGAAUUUAAAAUAAAUAGGCCAUGAUUUGGAUAUCACAGUGACUAAAUUAUCCACUUAGAUGAUCCCCUCUGUGGGUGAACAGCCUGCUGCUCCCAGCCCUCCCUUUUCCACAGAGUGACAGCAGUUACAAAGAUCUGAUUUAAAUGACGAAUACGCCCAGCUUGUGUUUUGCAGAAUGCCGUGUCCUGUUUGAAAUAGAAACUGUAAAAUCCUGCAGGACAGUCCCUGAGUGAGACUAAUAAAGCCACGUUUUAAUCCGUUAAGGGCUGUAGUAGCUAUUAUUUCCUUCCUGCCCUCGAUGGAGGUGUGAAGACUUUCAGAGGAAGCACCCACCAGCAGAUGUUCAGAGGUUCCUACUGCUUCAGCCCCUAUCUGAACUUCCUAUUGCUCCUUCUCAGGAGAAAUUAUUUCAUUAGCCUGGGUCAGCCCUUUCUGAACAUGUCUGUUUCUUACCUUAUUUCUGCUGCCUGUCAUGCUGUCCCGCUGCCAGAGAGUAUUUUCAGACCCGUAGGUCUGACUCCCUAGGCGUUUCUCCUGGACUUUGUACACCACUGGCUGUCCUAGGAGAGGAAAGGAAAGUGUGCAUUUCCAGUGGAGCACUGCAUGCAGCUUUUUUUCUGCACAUGUGCCCUCUAUGGAUUCUUGUUGGAUUUCCUGACCCUUUUCUGUUUGAUUGACUCUGAAAGCCCAGCUGAUUCUUCUGUUCUCCCCAAAGCACCUAUGGGAACUUCUGUAACUUGGUUGCCUCUAUCCGAAGUUUUUCUUUGCUUCUUUGAGAAAAGAGAAAGUCGUAGCACCUGAAAGUGUGCCAGUUUCCCAAUCACACUGGUUGCCAGUGAUUGGCUGGGUCAAUAGAGACUGGGGUGGGAAAGCCUGGUCCUGCUGCAGGUCAGAGCAGGGCACACUAGACUUCUGAUCAGAGUGUGGUGGCAUAGGAAUCCGUCAGUGCUCUUCUGGGGUGGUGGUCAUUGUCCUGACAGCCUCUGCAUUAUGAUAAUGGGAAAAAAAAAAGUUAAUGUUUGUUUCACUGAUGUAUUUCAGAAUGAAUUACUCUUGGCAUUAGAGAGUAAGAGCCGACUGCAUGCAAUGGACAACUGCACUGCUUUAAAAAUCCUGUGCAUUAUGCCAGCAGUGUAGGGGUCUCCAAUCUUCAAACACAGACACAUGGUUUCAGAGAACACAAACACUACGUGUUGAUCUGGAAGUAAAGAGAAGCAGUGUGAAUCUGCUUUUCCCAUAUUUUCAGCCAAUUGCUGGCUAUUUAAAAUCUUUAAUCUAAACAGAUAUUUGGAUUUAGUUUCUGAAGAGCAAAAGCUUGUCAGCUAUUUCAGUGAGGGCAACAACUUAAACUGUCAAUAUAUCAUUCCUGAAACAAGCAUAAUUUCAGCAAUCAAGUAGGAGAUAUUUCUUGUAGGUCCACAAUUCCUUGUAGAGAGAGUUCAUAUCAUAAUGAUGUGCUCUGUGGAGGUGACUCAUUUGCACAUUUUGGAGUUCAGACAAAGUCUCUGUGUUAGCUCUCUUUCCUCUCCUACCUUCCACGUGUUCUCCUGGAUUCAUAACAGAAUGAUUCUUUCUGUUACAUAAGACUGAAAUGGCUUCUCAUUUUCACUUUCUUUAUGCAUAAAGAGGCUUAUAAAUGUAUUGAGUUAUGGCUGAGGAAACUAGAAUACAUGCUACCUGAAAACCAUCAUAAAUUGUUCCAAAAUGAUCUUGAUUAAUUAAAAAAAAAUUGGUUUUGCUUUGUGCUAGUCCGACUAUUUUGACAGCUACUUGUGCUGUAGUGCACAAGUGGGGAUAUAAUCGCACAGGGCUGAAGAUGUCUAGUAAUGAAGUAGUGACACCCAGUUCUGUAUAUGCCAGCAUGGCUACGUGAAUGCAAUACACAAAGCCAGAUGUACCAUUUUAACUGCACAAGGAUAUAUUCAAGUAUGUUUAAAAUGGGCAGCGUGACAUUUAUGUGUAUGUGUGUAGGUCUCACUGAAAGUAGUGCCUCCUAUUUAUUUCCAUGGAAACAACAACAGAUACAAAGAGCUCAAUAACACUAUUUGAUAGAGCAAGCCCUCAGCAACAGAACACUGUUUUUCAACAUAGUCACCACCAUUAGCUGUGCAUUUUCACCAGGGAUGAAUAAGAGCCUGUGUGCCACACUCAUGAAAAUCUGUACCAGCAGAGAUGACCCACUGUUGCACAGCUGCUAUGAUGGCAUUGUUGCUAGGAAAAUGUUGCCCAUGCAGUCCGUCUUUCAUUGGCCCGGACAGAUGGAAGUCAGAAAGUACCAAACCCAGAUAGUAGGGGGGUGUGAUAGGACAGUCCAGCCAAGAUACAGUCCUGUACAGUACAGUACAGUAAGACCUUUGGUGACUGAAAUUGGAUCGUUUGCAUUUUAAGAGGUGGCUUAGAAUCCAUAAUUUCCAUUUGAAAUAUUUUCAGGUGUGCUUUUACCAUUAUCCUUACAAUUCCAUCUAUGUGCUUGUUUCAAGAAAAUUACAUGAUUUGUUGGUUUGAGACAAUUUUAACUUCAUAAUUAAUCUGUUUAACUUUUCUCCAGCUGUCACAGAUUUGCUGACCAGUAAAGAAGUCCUUCUAGAAAGCCGAAACACCUUGUUAUGAAACAGGCUGAUUUGGGUUGGAUUUUGAACAAAGCUGUGCUCUCUGCAUUAGUUUUAUUAAGUGAGAUAAAAGAAUUCUUACAGUAGUGUUAAAUUAAUACCUCAUUUCUGGAUGACAAUCAUGCUUAUGGCAAGACCAUUCCCAUCACUUGUGGUGCUUGAAAGCACUGUGAAAACUCCAAGAAACCAAGAUCUGGCUAUACAUCAUCAGGUAAUACCUCCAUGUUAAUGUGUGGAAGAAGAAAUGAGUUCACCUCUUUCGGAGUUAAGAAAGAUUAUGGUCAUAUCAAGAUUUAUGCUAGCUUCAUUUUAGAUGAUACUGAAGAUGAGUAUUUUUUGCAAUACAAGUUUGAAUGUAAGUGUUAGCAUAUUUUCACACUUUUUAGUUAUGAAACAGAAACUACUGAAUAUCAUGAGAAAUAAGAACCUCCUUCUCAGGGUACCGUGAGUUUCUUACCUAUUGCCACACCCUGCCUGCAAUAAACAGAUCUCUUAAUUGCAGCUAAACUGGAUUUCCUUAAAUAAACCCAACCAAAUUCUGUUUAUCAGCAAUGUUUCUACUUCAAUCAAACUCCUGAGGUGGAAAUUUCUCAAUACUCAGUCCUUGGGAGGAGCAGCUUCUAGGGAAAAGGUGGGAAUAAAAAUACUUCCACAAUUAUGUUCAGCACUGUUUGUCAUCAUCUCUUCUUAGUGUCCCGAGCAGAAGCACCAGUAGUCUUUUUGAGUAAAACAGACCCUUAGACUGAUUCUUCACCUCUCAGUAGUUACUUCUGGUAUAGCAGAACUGGAUUAUGACUGACAAGGUGGAGGUAGGAAGCUUUGCUGGGAUUUUGGCUUCCUUAAAUUUAGUUUUCCAGUACGCUGUCAAAAAGGUUUCCUGGGUUGCUUUGUACCAUUAUCUUCGUGCGGCAUUUAUGUGUAUAAUUCAGUAUUUACUUUAACUUUUAUUCCACAGCAAUUGCAUUCCUUUUUGUAACUAUUUUGUGAAUGAAGCAAGCCUAAGAAAUGUUCCUAUUUAUAGGUGGUGAUAGGCUUCACAGCCCUUUUGAUAAGUAAAGAACCAAACUGUUAAACUGACCAGUCUGGGUCAGUAUAAGGGAACACGUCAUUUUUAGUCCUACUUAUUUUUUGGAUAAAAACCUUUUUCAAGGGAAAAAUGUCAACAUAUAUCUGAAAUUAAGCCCUUCACAAUCCCUGCUCUGCCAUGUAAUUCAUAAAUUAAUGGAUCUAGAAAAGACCUUAAAAGGGUGUUAUCCGUCAGAAAUAAUACUUCUGUGUGUGCAGUGCCUAUCUCUCAUAAAAACUUGUGUUGGCCCUAUGUUGAAUUAGCCUGUCUGUGAGUGUCAAAUCCUUUUGGGAAAGGAUGAAAGAACCAUAAAAUAAGUUUAUGUUGCUCAGUGCCCAAAUGUUAUAAGUGGCUAACACAGUAAGAGAAAAGCAGUAAAUUUGAUCUUUUGCAACAUGUAUAUUUAACAGUUGUAAAAAUUACUUCUGAGUUUGUUGGUAUUACACUUUUGUUUUAGGUGCUGCCUGCCAUAUAUCUGAAUUACUUAGACCUCUGAGUAAAGCUAAUCUUUCUUCUUAGAUCCAAGCCUAUAACUUUUAAGGUGACAAGAAAUCCCCCACAGAAAUCACAGAAAAACAGAAUAAAGCAAAUGCUUGCUAUUCAAAAGAGGUUUGCCAUCACGGUAUCUGAAAAUAUUAUUAUAAAGGUAAUAAGCAAAGCAUGACUACUCAUCUGUCUUAUUUUGGUUUUUAUCCAUUUUACGGAAAAAGAAAUGUGCAUAUUAGAAUAUUAUGUUUGUUUUGAUGAAAUUUUAUCCAGUAACAUAUGUUGUGCUAUGCAAAUGUAUCUAUAAAUGAAGAAAUAUGCUUUGCAUUUGGAAUAAAAGGGUGUCAAGCACUUUCUAAUUUUUAUGAGGUCCUCGGGAAAGCCCUAAAUCUUUUCUCCCCACAGUGAGUUGUAAUCUUACUGUGUAGCAUUCAUUGUGUAAUUGUUGACCAUGGUCUUUUCUCUGGCAAUUUACUGAUCUUAGUCCCAGGACAUGAAAUGCCUUGCAGAGCAAGACUUAGCACAUUCAUCGUUCUGUGGGAAGAUGCUGGAGAAAUUGUAAAGCCAGUGGGUUGCAUUUGCGAUAGCUUCUGUUGUGGAGGAGGGGAUCUGCUGUCUCUGUGGCAAACUGGAACCACCACAGUGCUACAGAUCUGUAUCUCAGGAUGUGUCAUCCAGCCAAGGCCAAUGGAAGAGGCUCGAGUAACUGAGGUAUGCUGGCCUGGCAAGGUGUCUUGGGUCCAGCUGGCAUCAAGAGAGAGCACUGUGCAUGAAUGUUGCCUUGUGAGUGUUUUAUAGCCUUGAGGAAUCCAGGGGUAUUCCUGGAGUGUGGACUGAGUUGGUAAACAAGAGUCUUAUCUGGGUGAAGGGAUCUGCACGCUCGAUGCUAAACUCAAUGCUUUUCCCACUGACACUGCUAUUGGCUUUUUUUGACUGUUUAUCCUUAAUCUAAUGUAGAGAUUGCACAAACUGGAAAAAAAAAAUAGUGUGCUCUGUUUUAAUAGGACAGAAAUUUGAAUUCUAAACGAAGGCUUUGAAAACAUGAACUUGUGACACUGAACCGAUUCUGUAUGGCCUUUGUGUCCUCGCUGAGUUAUUUGCAGAAUUAGUUUUGGACAAUCUUUUUUCUUCCUUUUGGGCAGCACAUAUACAGCACUAUGGGGCUGCAAUAUUUCUAUCCUCUUAUCCUUGUGCAAAUAGGGUCAAAAUCAGGGAAGGGAACCCAGUUGGCACUGAUUUCAUUAUGCUGGCACAGCCCUCGUUCCCUGCCCAUCUCAAGUACAUCUGAUGUGAAUUGGCACCUCGGCUAAACUCUAGGCAGCGCUGUGUGUGUCAGGAUACUUUGGACCUCAUUGCUGGUUAAGGUGUUACUGCCUACUACUACC
This 14295-nucleotide long non-coding RNA is filed under the name Gallus gallus (chicken). RNAcentral's name for it is "lncRNA (ENSGALG00010011944.1)". Lineage: Eukaryota; Metazoa; Chordata; Aves; Galliformes; Phasianidae. The record is from RNAcentral.